RNAcentral lists this ribosomal RNA (252 nucleotides) under uncultured Bacteroidales bacterium. RNAcentral describes it as "partial 16S ribosomal RNA". It matches the Rfam family "Bacterial small subunit ribosomal RNA", at positions 524 to 776 of the family's 1533-position model. The record is from RNAcentral. Lineage: Bacteria; Pseudomonadati; Bacteroidota; Bacteroidia; Bacteroidales.
UACGGAGGAUGCGAGCGUUAUCCGGAUUUAUUGGGUUUAAAGGGUGCGUAGGCGGACUGUCAAGUCAGCGGUAAAAUACGGGGGCUCAACCCCGGCGAGCCGUUGAAACUGUCGGACUAGAGACGGCGAGAAGUACGCGGAAUGCGCGGUGUAGCGGUGAAAUGCAUAGAUAUCACGCAGAACUCCGAUUGCGAAGGCAGCAUACCGGCGCCCUACUGACGCUGAGGCACGAAAGCGUGGGGAUCGAACAGG